CAGUAGCCGCGGGAAUACGUAGGGUGCAAGCGUUAAUCGGAAUUACUGGGCGUAAAGCGUGCGCAGGCGGUUAUAUAAGACAGAUGUGAAAUCCCCGGGCUCAACCUGGGAACUGCAUUUGUGACUGUAGAGCUGGAGUGCGGCAGAGGGGGAUGGAAUUCCGCGUGUAGCAGUGAAAUGCGUAGAUAUGCGGAGGAACACCGAUGGCGAAGGCAAUCCCCUGGGCCUGCACUGACGCUCAUGCACGAAAGCGUGGGGAGCAAACAGGAUUAGAUACCCCCGUAGUCCCUGUCCUUAUACA
This 301-nucleotide ribosomal RNA is filed under the name uncultured bacterium. RNAcentral describes it as "partial 16S ribosomal RNA". It matches the Rfam family "Bacterial small subunit ribosomal RNA", at positions 509 to 809 of the family's 1533-position model. The record is from RNAcentral.